Long non-coding RNA from Octopus sinensis (East Asian common octopus), 135 nucleotides. RefSeq lists it as uncharacterized. The record is from RefSeq and is a predicted model, not a curated record. NCBI's taxonomy places the organism in Eukaryota, Metazoa, Mollusca, Cephalopoda, Octopoda, Octopodidae. The transcript has 4 exons.
CUGUUGUAACUGCCUUGAUCUCGUCCUUUUUCUUCAGGAUGGUGUAGAUUGUUGACGUGCUUCAAUCGUAUUGACGUGCCAUGUCCACUACACGCACUCCUCUCUCUUGCCAGUGGAAUACUUGCUCAGGAGUUA